GGUGUUCCAAGAGCGGCGGGCGUCAGAGUGAAGGUGAGCGUGUGUGGCAGGUGCGAGGGUGGCGCUAGUGACGUCACGGGGGUGUGCGCCGUACGGAGGUGUGAGUGUGUGUGGCGGCAGCGUGGCGGCGGCGGCUGGGGUGUCUGGACGUGAGAGGGAUCGAGUUGGUGUGUGUGUGAAGGAAGACAGCACCCGCUUGUCCUCUACCAAGCUACCACCACACCACGCCUCCUACUCCCCUUUCUUACACCUAAAAACUUCCUUCCAACACAGUAUCAUUCAAAAAAGGACGUUUCAUGAAAGAAAACCAUGUAUAAACAGAAAGAAACAUGGAAGACCAAACCAUAUACACUGAAAAAUAUAACUUAAAGUCGAAAAGUGGAGUGAAUAAUAAGAAAAAAAGUUCCUUGGUGAGUGAUGCUUUAACCACGUGAAAGAGAGAGAGAGAGAUAGAGAGAAAAGGAGGGAAAAAUAGUGUGUCCUUAGCAUCAAGUUAGUAAAGAGUUGUGAGCGUCGCCUCGCCGCCACAUGGACCUGAGGACUCGCUGCCAAGGAAACGCUUAACGCGGGAGGCGGGCGUGCACCAUGUACGGGGCGGUGGGCGCAAGUAUCAGCGUCAGGCAGCAACGCAAGAAGUCACUCAGCCGUCAGUCGGUGAAGCCUCUCACCACCCCGGCUAAGAAAGCCAAAGUCCACCCGCACCUGGCCAAGACUCACACCGCGACACAGGCGAGGUCCGCACACCCGAGAAGACUGGGCGUUGCUUAAAUCCUCGACGGCUGCCUUGUGGAGGGAUUCUGCCUCUUCACCUCCUCUCCUGGCACCGACCACCACCACCACAACCACCUCCACCCACCUCCACUUCACCACUACUGCUGCCCUCCCACUCACUCCUCGCCUAAUUCAACUUCCCUCCCUCCACCCCCUCUGUCACUUGAAACCUUGACCACCGUAGCUGAGCGCACUGCAGAGAGUGGCAGGGAGUCGGUAGCUACCAUGGCACAGUGGGUGUGGUGGCGGGAGGCAUUAUUGCUCUCUCCUUGCACGAGGUGAAACUUGCCCUAACCUGUGCGGUCCUUCUUGACUUGGUGAUGCCUCGGCUCAGCUUAAUGGUGUUGGGUGUUUUGUGUUGACUGUAGCACCAGCAUGCAGGCCGCUCUCCUCGUCCGUAAUAACAGGAGGAAGCGAGGAAAAGUCAAACCUCAGACGCUCCAGGGCAGCCUUCCGCCCCAUGUUGCCAGCCAACCCAUCAAGCCCUUCCCGAGAUACAACCCUAAGAAGGUGAGUGUCACCGCACUCCGUCACUGCCCGACGCAGGUAAGUCCCUCUGUCCCGUAGCGCCUACACUAAGCAAGAUCGCGACCUUGACGGCACCAGCUGUGAAGGCCUUAGUUCUCCAAAGAAUGAAGCAGUUUGCACACUGGUAGUAAGGGAUGAGAGGCAAGCUCAAGGGGUAGAAAGUUUUCACGCUGUUCCCCCAAACCUGGCCGCCAACGGGGCGUGGAAGGCCGGCUGCCGCGGCCUUGGGACACCUGCGGAACCAACAGGUAAGUCGCGUCAGCAACACUGUCUUGUCUUGAGGCAUGCCACGCUUGGUGGAACCUGUCUGUGCCUGAUUGUUUUGCUCCUCGGUGUUCGGUGGAGGCUCGCAGUGCAAUGGUGCAUGUCACAUCGGCUGCUUGUUGCAUCUUGCCAGCCAGCCUGACGGAGCUAUGCGUUGCCUCACCCACAUGUUAUCUUUCCACAAGACAAAACGCGGCGCGUUAACCUCCGCUCACUGCGCCUGACACGCGUGUAAAACGAAUCCGAGCGACGUGACUCCUGCCAGCCCCAGCCUGACGGAGGAGCAGCAGGCGCAGGUGGGGUGCAAGUGCAAUCAAUGCCUCGCCAUGACGUGCCACUCUGACAUCAACACUGAACAUAUUUCCAAAGUGAUUUUUAGACGCCGCUCGUGAAUCAAGGCCGUGAGUGUCAAUUUAUGCACCGUGAAGAGAGCAGGCCGACCACCGCCUCGCCAGCAGAGAAAAUAAUCGAUCACUGUUUUCAUUAUCAUCUUCUCUGUUAUUGUUUUACUGUUAUUAUUAU
Scylla paramamosain (green mud crab) is the source of this 2085-nucleotide long non-coding RNA. RefSeq lists it as uncharacterized. Lineage: Eukaryota; Metazoa; Arthropoda; Malacostraca; Decapoda; Portunidae. The transcript has 3 exons. The record is from RefSeq and is a predicted model, not a curated record.